Molecule: unclassified non-coding RNA, 309 nt
Filed under: plant metagenome
Description: partial contains 5.8S ribosomal RNA, internal transcribed spacer 2, and large subunit ribosomal RNA
Rfam family: 5.8S ribosomal RNA (bases 1-105)
Source: RNAcentral
GAAAUGCGAUAAGUAGUGUGAAUUGCAGAAUUCAGUGAAUCAUCGAAUCUUUGAACGCACAUUGCGCCCCUUGGUAUUCCAUGGGGCAUACCUGUUCGAGCGUCAUUUGUACCCUCAAGCUCUGCUUGGUGUUGGGUGUUUGUCCCGUCUCCGCGCGUGGACUCGCCCCAAAGUGAUUGGCAGCCGGCGUACUGGUCCCGGAGCGCAGCACAUGUCGCGCAAACGAGUGCCUUGGUACGGCGGCGUCCAUAAGCCCCUCUCUCACGCUCUUGACCUCGGAUCAGGUAGGGAUACCCGCUGAACUUAAAC